Molecule: non-coding RNA, 995 nt
Organism: Aegilops tauschii subsp. strangulata
Lineage: Eukaryota; Viridiplantae; Streptophyta; Magnoliopsida; Poales; Poaceae
Source: RefSeq, a predicted model, not a curated record
CCGUCAUAGUUUGCGGGGCGGGUUCGUGCGCGGCAGUCCAUCCUCUAUCUUUCUCUAGCCAAUUGCAGACGAGCUCGCCCACUCCGCACGACGCGGAGGGCGCGGCGCGUGUGGAGAGGCACGCGCACACCAAGAAAAGUUUGACCCAGCCAAUCGGAUCUAGCCCGAGCCCACACGCCAUACACUGUCCAGAUUUCACCACGCGGUCAAAACGACAUGAGUCAAUUCUCAGCGAGAUCCAACGAACGGCAGACAAAAAAAACUCGCUCAACCAUGAUCUAACGGCGAGCGAAGGAAGCGAUCGAGGAGGGAGCCUUCUCCAUGGGAGUUGGCCAGCCUCAUUAUUGUUUUAAAUGAGAGCAGAAGAGAAUAAUAAAAAUAAGUAAAAUUCCUCUUCCCCUCGCCGCUGCCUGCCGCCGCCGUUGUUAAAGCUGAAGGGAAGAGGAGGGGGAGGACGACCACCGGGCGCCCUGCUGCCUCCGGCACGAGCUGCGGCCUGCUGCCGCUACACAGCCUCGUGCACUGUGCGCUAACCGCCGCCCCGGAGGCGGUGGCGGCGCUGCGGCCGGCUGGUUGCCGGGAGACUGAUGGCGCCGGCGAGGAGGAAGCGCGGCGCAUCUGCGGCUGCCGCAGCGGCGUCGGCCGCGGCGCAGUGGAAGGUCGGCGACCUGGUGCUCGCCAAGAUGAAGGGCUUCCCCGCGUGGCCAGCCAUGAUAAGUGAACCAGAGCAAUGGGGUCUACCUUCUGUUAAAAAUAAGCGUCUGGUCUACUUCUAUGGAACUAAACAGAUGUAAGUUCUAUUUUGAAUGGAACCUUUCAUUUUUGUAUGGAAUUCAGAAGCUGCUUGUAUCUCUAUGGCUCAUCUGCUUAGUGUGCGUUGAAGUUUUUCUAUGGCUCAUCUGCUUUGUCUUUAUAAUUGGACAAUUGGUUAUAUAUGGAGUACUUGUUAUGAUAAAAAAUAAUGCAUACCUUUGUAAGUAUGUUUUCUUGGGUUA